RNAcentral lists this ribosomal RNA (502 nucleotides) under uncultured bacterium. RNAcentral describes it as "partial 16S ribosomal RNA". It matches the Rfam family "Bacterial small subunit ribosomal RNA", at positions 29 to 523 of the family's 1533-position model. The record is from RNAcentral.
AUUGAACGCUGGCGGAAUGCUUUACACAUGCAAGUCGAACGGCAGCACGGGUGCCUGCACCUGGUGGCGAGUGGCGAACGGGUGUGUAAUACAUCGGAACGUACCCAGUCGUGGGGGAUAACGUAGCGAAAGUUACGCUAAUACCGCAUACGUCCUGAGGGAGAAAGCGGGGGACCGUAAGGCCUCGCGCGAUUGGAGCGGCCGAUGGCGGAUUAGCUAGUUGGUGGGGUAAAGGCCUACCAAGGCGACGAUCCGUAGCGGGUCUGAGAGGACGGCCCGCCACACUGGAACUGAGACACGGUCCAGACUCCUACGGGAGGCAGCAGUGGGGAAUUUUGGACAAUGGGCGAAAGCCUGAUUCAGCCAUUCCGCGUGAGUGAAGAAGGCCUUCGGGUUGUAAAGCUCUUUCGGCAGGGAAGAAACGGCUUGGGAUAAUACCCCGGGCUAAUGACGGUACCUGAAGAAGAAGCACCGGCUAACCACGUGCCAGCCGCCGCCGUAA